Molecule: ribosomal RNA, 867 nt
Filed under: uncultured archaeon
Lineage: Archaea
Description: bacterial SSU rRNA
Rfam family: Archaeal small subunit ribosomal RNA
Source: RNAcentral
CUCCGGUUGAUCCUGCCGGACCCGACUGCUAUCAGAGUGGGACUAAGCCAUGCUAGUCAACGCAGCAAUGCGUGGCAUACGGCUCAGUAACACGUAGUCAACAUGCCCAGGGGACGUGGAUAACCUCGGGAAACUGAGGAUAAACCGCGAUAGGCCAAGGUUUCUGGAAUGGACACUGGCUGAAACCUAUAUGGCCCCUGGAUUGGACUGCGGCCGAUCAGGCUGUUGGUGAGGUAAUGGCCCACCAAACCUGUAACCGGUACGGGCUUUGAGAGAAGGAGCCCGGAGAUGGGCACUGAGACAAGGGCCCAGGCCCUAUGGGGCGCAGCAGGCGCGAAAAUUCUGCAAUAGGCGAAAGCUUGACAGAGUUACUCUGAGUGAUGCCCGCUAAGGGCAUCUUUUGGCACCUCUAAAAAUGGUGCAGAAUAAGGGGUGGGCAAGUCUGGUGUCAGCCGCCGCGGUAAUACCAGCACCCCGAGUGGUCGGGACGAUUAUUGGGCCUAAAGCAUCCGUAGAAAGUUCUGCAAGUCUUCCGUUAAAUCCACCUGCUCAACAGAUGGGCUGCGGGAGAUACUACAGGGCUAGGAGGCGGGAGAGGCAAGCGGUACUCAGUGGGUAGGGGUAAAAUCCUCUGAUCCACUGAAGACCACCAGUGGCGAAGGCGGCUUGCCAGAACGCGCUCGACGGUGAGGGAUGAAAGCUGGGGGAGCAAACCGGAUUAGAUACCCGGGUAGUCCCAGCUGUAAACGAUGCAGACUCGGUGAUGGGUUGGCUUUGCGCCAACCCAGUGCCGCAGGGAAGCCGUUAAGUCUGCCACGUGGGGAGUACGGUCGCAAGACUGAAACUUAAAGCUUAAAGCGGGGAGCA